Molecule: ribosomal RNA, 90 nt
Filed under: Ailuropoda melanoleuca (giant panda)
Lineage: Eukaryota; Metazoa; Chordata; Mammalia; Carnivora; Ursidae
Source: RNAcentral
GUCUACCGCCAUACCACCUUGAACACACCUGAUUUCAUCUGCUCUCAGAAGCUAAGCAGGGUCGGGCCUGGUUAGUACUUGGGUGGGAGA